AUGAGCACUCCUAAUGGUUAAAUCAUACACAUAUUUCAUUAGCUACUAAUACCUAGAAAUGGAAUGAUAAGAGAAAAUGGAAUUGAUAAGACGGCCAUUGUUAUCUAAAAUCAUAAAGUUAAUAUUAAAACGUUGUUUUUCGAGAAUUAAACCUUACCUAAAAAACUUAAUUUAGUGCUAGGGGUACUACAGAAGAAGAGGCGAUACGAAUAGUGUUUCGAAUUAAGGAUUCAGCUAGAAGAAUAGAGCGAAAAUUUAGUUGCGACUGAUUCAACUGGUCUGUUUCUGCAUCGAUACUACGGGUGCAAGCUUAGGGGUCCUAGGAUAGUCAAGAUAAGCUGAGAUAACGUCGAAGGCUUUAGAAUCGGUACUAUCGGAAACGAGGCAUACCAAAUCUUUUUUGAGCUGCCACAAAUCCGUGCUGCUUCAGAAAGUUGGUACAAAUCCGAACAGUCGGUUUGAGUGAACAACCCGUCGGGUGAUGAUGCUGCUGUUUUGUUAUUAUCAACGUUUGCAGUUCGCGAUUCCAGACACUUUUUACCAGGAUGGGCUGGUAAAAGGCAUUGACGACAGGAUUUUGGUUGAUUUAAAUAAGUUACCAUAGUGGUUUCGUUCCCGAUAGUUACGUACGAGGGGAUAUUGCGAAGCAGAUUCAUCCUCAACACUCGCACACCAUUUGAAAUUCCGGGAAAAUAGUGCCGCCAUGCCUCGUUUCUGAUAGAGAUUAUCUCACCAUAUUUCAGCAUGAAAUCACUUAUUGCACUGUUACUCAUAGACGGGGGGAGAUCAUGCAACCGCACGGUCACUGCCUCACAAUCCGCAUAAACCGGUAUGCGGAAUUCCUUGUCUGCACACACCAUUUUACAUUUCCAAUUAUUUUCUAAUUGAUACCGUGUGACAAUUUCUUGAUUUUUCAUCUCAAUAAGCACACAAUUGCGGCUAUUGUGCAAUUGUAUGCUCGAAACAUUAUCAUAUUGGAGCUUCAACUGGCUUUCCAGGAAUAGCUUCACUUUCCCAGCAUCAGGGCGUACUGGGAGAACACUAAAGUCCACCACCAAUGUAUUCUUCCGCACGCUACACAUUUUCCACGGGAUAUAUUUAAAGCGAG
Molecule: long non-coding RNA, 1108 nt
Organism: Armigeres subalbatus
Lineage: Eukaryota; Metazoa; Arthropoda; Insecta; Diptera; Culicidae
Exons: 4
Source: RefSeq, a predicted model, not a curated record